GUACUGAUGAAGAAUCUCAAAAUAGGAUGAAACAGCUGUCCUGUAC
Trichobilharzia regenti is the source of this 46-nucleotide non-coding RNA. NCBI's taxonomy places the organism in Eukaryota, Metazoa, Platyhelminthes, Trematoda, Strigeidida, Schistosomatidae. The record is from Rfam.